RNAcentral lists this ribosomal RNA (301 nucleotides) under uncultured bacterium. RNAcentral's name for it is "partial 16S ribosomal RNA". It matches the Rfam family "Bacterial small subunit ribosomal RNA", at positions 509 to 808 of the family's 1533-position model. The record is from RNAcentral.
CAGCAGCCGCGGUAAUACGUAGGGGGCAAGCGUUGUCCGGAAUUAUUGGGCGUAAAGCGCGCGCAGGCGGUCAUGUAAGUCUGGUGUUUAAUCCCGGGGCUCAACCCCGGAUCGCACUGGAAACUGGGUGACUUGAGUGCAGAAGAGGAGAGUGGAAUUCCACGUGUAGCGGUGAAAUGCGUAGAGAUGUGGAGGAACACCAGUGGCGAAGGCGACUCUCUGGGCUGUAACUGACGCUGAGGCGCGAAAGCGUGGGGAGCAAACAGGAUUAGAUACCCCCGUAGUCCCUGUCUCUUAUACC